Molecule: long non-coding RNA, 585 nt
Organism: Peromyscus maniculatus bairdii (prairie deer mouse)
Lineage: Eukaryota; Metazoa; Chordata; Mammalia; Rodentia; Cricetidae
Source: RefSeq, a predicted model, not a curated record
UACACACACAUGCAUACAUGCACACAGAGAUAUUUUAGAAAAACUGCUUUUUUUAAUUUUAGCACUUAUCUUUGUUUUUGUGGCAUUGUAAAUAAUAAUAGUCUUAUAUUUUCAUAAGUAUUAGUUACUUCUGUCAUUGCUCCAACCAAAUACCUGACAAGAAGCAAAUUAAAGAAGUGGAGAUUUAGAAAAUAUUCAGAAAAAUGUAGUCCUACCUGGCAGAGAAAGCAUGGCAGCAGGAAAAUGCACAGUAUGGAUCAACAAUCAGGAAGCAGAAAAAGGUAUAUGCCCUUGAAUGCAGGUGCCUUCAGAGUCCAGAAGAGGGAAUCAGAUACCCUGGAAAUUGAGGUACACAGAUAUCACAGUGAGUGACCUGACAUGGGACCCAAACUGAUCCUCUGUAAGAGCAGUACACAGUCUUAACCACUGACCGAUUGCUCCAGAUUCAAUUUUCAGCACUCAAAUGUCCUGGCCAGCGGGAUAUUCAGCAGAGACCCUAGAAGAGGGAAUGGUGAAUGAAUGGACAAGAGACACAAAGAAUUGGCAGCAAGACAGUGUUAUGAUCAAGCUGCAAAAUUUUAUUUU